Podarcis lilfordi (Lilford's wall lizard) is the source of this 80-nucleotide non-coding RNA. NCBI's taxonomy places the organism in Eukaryota, Metazoa, Chordata, Lepidosauria, Squamata, Lacertidae. The record is from the annotation of a GenBank genome assembly.
GUCCCUAUACAGAUAGCUUAGUAGGUAGAGCAUGAGACCCAUUAAUCUCAGGGUUGUGGGUUCAAGCCCCAUGUAGGGCA